UACAGAGGGUGCGAGCGUUAAUCGGAUUUACUGGGCGUAAAGCGUGAGUAGGUGGCUCGCUAAGUCGAUUGUGAAAGCCCUGGGCUCAACCUGGGAAUUGCAGUCGAUACUGGUGAGCUAGAGUUCGGUAGAGGGUGACGGAAUUCCCGGUGUAGCGGUGAAAUGCGUAGAUAUCGGGAGGAACAUCGAUGGCGAAGGCAAUCACCUGGGCCUGAACUGACACUGAGACACGAAAGCGUGGGUAGCAAACAGG
RNAcentral lists this ribosomal RNA (253 nucleotides) under uncultured bacterium. RNAcentral describes it as "partial 16S ribosomal RNA". It matches the Rfam family "Bacterial small subunit ribosomal RNA", at positions 524 to 776 of the family's 1533-position model. The record is from RNAcentral.